GAUACUGACCUGCCAAGGCAUCUUGGCGGGUCGAAAGCUCCGGCGGUGCAGGAUGAGCCCGCGGCCUAUCAGCUUGUUGGUGAGGUAAUGGCUCACCAAGGCGACGACGGGUAGCCGGCCUGAGAGGGCGACCGGCCACACUGGGACUGAGACACGGCCCAGACUCCUACGGGAGGCAGCAGUGGGGAAUAUUGCACAAUGGGCGAAAGCCUGAUGCAGCGACGCCGCGUGAGGGAUGACGGCCUUCGGGUUGUAAACCUCUUUCAGCAGGGAAGAAGCGAAAGUGACGGUACCUGCAGAAGAAGCGCCGGCUAACUACGUGCCAGCAGCCGCGGUAAUACGUAGGGCGCAAGCGUUGUCCGGAAUUAUUGGGCGUAAAGAGCUCGUAGGCGGCUUGUCGCGUCGGUUGUGAAAGCCCGGGGCUUAACCCCGGGUCUGCAGUCGAUACGGGCAGGCUAGAGUUCGGUAGG
This 470-nucleotide ribosomal RNA is filed under the name Streptomyces sp. LKB1-4. RNAcentral's name for it is "bacterial SSU rRNA". It matches the Rfam family "Bacterial small subunit ribosomal RNA", at positions 172 to 655 of the family's 1533-position model. Lineage: Bacteria; Bacillati; Actinomycetota; Actinomycetes; Kitasatosporales; Streptomycetaceae. The record is from RNAcentral.